AUGGCUCCUUCUCUGGCCGAGCAGCAGCAGCAUGAGGUUAGGAUGGAGGAUGGCAGGUGCCGCAUCGCCAUCGCGGACUUCCCUGGCGGGCCCGGCACCUUCGAGGCUACGGCCAAGUUCUGCUACGGGUCGUGUCGAGCUCACGCCCUGGAACGUCGCGCUGCUGCGGUGCGCGACGGAUUGCGUGGAGAUGAAGGAGGAGCACAUCAAGGACAACCUGUCCGCGCGCGCCGAGGCCUACCUCCUGGUUCGGCGCAACAACGGCGACGGCUGCCGGAUCCGGCAAGGGGUGCCGCCCCCUCCCCCUGA
RNAcentral lists this ribosomal RNA (309 nucleotides) under Triticum aestivum (bread wheat). RNAcentral's name for it is "partial small subunit ribosomal RNA". Lineage: Eukaryota; Viridiplantae; Streptophyta; Magnoliopsida; Poales; Poaceae. The record is from RNAcentral.